Molecule: long non-coding RNA, 20273 nt
Filed under: Gossypium barbadense (sea-island cotton)
Lineage: Eukaryota; Viridiplantae; Streptophyta; Magnoliopsida; Malvales; Malvaceae
Description: long non-coding RNA (GBAR_LNC007861)
Source: RNAcentral
CCACAUUACAUAAAGUGUCUAUACAUGCCUUAAAAUUUCGGAACACUAGUAGUAAAAUACCCCAAAUGUGAAGGAUAGUGUAGAUGAUUGUCUGACUUCGUUCCAAUUUCCGAGUUGUUGGAAGUCACUAUAACCAAGAGAAAAAUAAAAUCGAGUAAGCAUAUAGCUUAGUAAGUAAACACAUGAUAAAUAAGUAAUUACUCCCAUAACUACACCAAAAUAUAAACUUAUUCAUGAAUAACUUUAUUGUUUAGGCAAUUUCCAGCAAGCUGUUUUUCUGCGUCAUAGUCGCUAAUUUAUUUUUAUCUGGAGCUACAAGGCUCCAAAUUGAGUUCUGUAAAUUUUCCCUGAAACUAGACUCAUAUACCAUUUCACCAUAAAAAUUUCAGAAUUUUUAACCCAGCCAAUUAGUACAGUUUAUUCAUUAAACCUUCCCCUGUUUCACUGCCCAACGGUUCUGACCCUUCCUCACUAAAAUUUACUUAACUCUCUGUACAAAAUUUUAAAAAUGGGUUUUCUUAUUUCUAAUAAAAAUAGACUCAAUAAGGAUUCCAGGGAUAUAAAUUUCAUGCCAUAAUUAUUUUUUUACAAUUUUUGGUAAUUUUCCAAAGUUAGAACAGGGGAUCUCGAAAUCAAUCCAGCCCUGUUUUAGUAAAAUUCAGAUAUCUCCAAAAAUACAACUCUUUUGCUUAUUCUAUUUCUUUCAUAUGAAAACAGACACAUCCAGCUUCAAUUUCAUAUAUUAUUCAGCUUCCCAUUCAUUUUCCACCAUUUAUGGUGAUUUUUCAAAGUUACCCAACUGCUGUUGUUCAACACAGUUUAUAAUUAAAUCGUUCCUUUUUCGUUUUUGAUAUUUUCUCCCAUCUCAUACAUGGAUCGAUUUAGUGUCCAACUCAAUAUUUACCCCAUAAAAUUUUCCACCAUAUGGCAAUAUUCACCUUCCACACUUUUUCGUUGAACACUCGGAAUGUUAACCGUUAUUGGUGGAUCUCGCACUUAGCACCACCACUGAAUCGGGGAAUCAUCACUUAGCAACCCCUCGGGGGAAUCAGCACAUAGCAACCCCCUUUUCAUUUCAAAUAUACAAUGGAUAUCGCACUUAGCAACCCCUCGGGGGAAUCAGCACAUAGCAACCCCCUUUCACAUUUCAAAGAUAUGGUGGAUAUCGCACUUAGCACCACCAAUGAACCGGGGAAUCAGCACUUAGCAACCCCUCGGGGGAAUCAGCACAUAGCAACCCCCUUUCACAUUUCAAAGAUAUGGUGGAUCACGCACAUAGCACCACCCAUAAAUCGGGGAAUCAGCACACAGCAACCCCUUUUAUAUACAACAUACUACGGCUUAUUCCGAGUGUUCAACCCAUAACCCAUAUAUUGCAACCCUUUAUCACCUUUCCCAUAACAACAUUUUUAGGAUAUUGCCAAACAUUUAUUUUAAUUCCAAAUAAAUCUCAACAUAUAUCAAAUAAUAUCAAAAUAAUACAUUAAGUCACGUGUUUACUUACCUCGGUGCAAAAUAUCGUAAUUUUGCACUUUACUCCACUAUCUUUUCUUUUCCUCAUUUGAUAUACUCUUCACGUCUUUCUUGAUCUAUAAUAGCAAAUUUAACUCGUUUAAAGUCCACAUUUAUUAAAAUAAUCCACCACCCAACUUUUUGAAAAUUACAAUUUUGCCCCCAAACUUUUGCAUAAUUACACUUUUGUCCCCAAGCUCGGAAAUUAAACUUCAUCACUUAUUCUUAAGUUUUAUAACAUGCUGAACAUUUUUCCCUUCUAUGGAAACAUCAAAUUCCCACUCCAACACAUACUUUUGAAUAUUAAUUAUUUUUACCGAUUAUGUCUAUUUAUCCGUUUUCGCUUAAAAUUGCUUAGCAAAGUUGUUUAACAUAAUCUCUAGCUUCAUAUUCCACCAUAAAACAGCAAAAUAAACACAUUUCACCUAUGGAUAUUUUUCCAAAUAUGAACCCUAACAUGAAUUAAUGGUAGAAUAAGCUAAACCAAGUUACCGGGACUCCAAAAAUACGAAGAACAUUAAAAACGGGGCUUAGAAUCACUUAUUAUGGAGCUUGAAAGCUUAAAAACCCUAAAUAUGGCUUCCCCCUUGCUGAUUUCGUUCACCAUGAAGAAGAUGAGCAUAUUUUGCCAUCUUUUUCCCAUUUAAUUCUAUUUAAUAACCAAAUGACUAAAAUGCCCCCAUUUAAAAAAAAUCUAUUUCACCAUUUCUUAUGUCUAUUUUUGUCCAUCAACUAACUAAUGGUCUAAUUACCACAUAAAGACCUCCAAUUUAAAAUUUCAUAACAAUUAGACACCUCUAAGAUGUAGAACUCAACUUUUGCACUAUUUACAAUUUAGUCCUUUUGACUAAAUUGAGUGCCCAAACGUCGAAAUUUUCGAACGAAAUUUGUAAUGACCCAAAAUUCACGGGCAUCGAAAAAGUAUAAUAUUGGACCUCCGUCUUAGUAAAUUGAGUCCGAAAAUAAUUAUUAGAAAUAUUUACGAGACUAGUUGUGUGUUUAAUUAAGUUUUGGAUAGAUGAAUUUAAUCUAAUUAAGAAUAAUUAGGAAAAAGGAUUAAAUUGAAUAAAGGAAAUAAAGUAAAGUAAGUUAAAAUAAAAGAAUAAAAGAAACAAAAGAAGAAAGAAACAGAAUAGCCAAAGACGAAACAGAGAAGAAACAGGGGAGAAAGAAAGGAAAGAAGAAAGAAAAGGGGAAAUAAGGUUUAUGAAGCUUGGAGUUAAUUGGUAAGCUCAAUCAAGUCCUUUUCUCAUAAUUUUGAUAUUUUAGAAGUCUUAAAACAAGUUUUUGAUGAAAUUAAGUUGUUAGUUUGGAAGUUCUUAGGUUUUUAAACAAAGUUCAUGUUGAAUAAAAUGAUGAAAUAGGGGUUUAAUUGAGUGAAAUUCAAGUUAGAAUAGAUAUAAGGAUUGAAUUGCAAAGUAAGCUAUAAGUUUUUUUUGUUUUAGGGACUAGAUUGAGGAAAAUUCGGAAUUAAGAAAAUAUGUUAAAAAUUUAAUAGUUAAAUUUGAGUUUAAAUGAAAUUUGAAUAGGAAUAAGGUGUGAAUUGGUGUUAUAAAUUUGGUUAUUAACAUUUUUCAUCAAAACAGUUUUGGGAAGUAGCAAUGGUCUGACUUUGAAAAUUCACUAAAAAUUUUAUAAAUUGAACUAGAGGAUGAAAAAAAUAUGGAAUUAAAGCUUAUUGAGUCUAGUUUCUUAUAGUAGAAACAAUGUAAGCAAUUAAUUGAUGAAUCAAGAGAUAUUUUAAAUUUAGUAAUACUGGUUCGGGGUGAUUUCGAGAUGCCCUGUUUUAACUUUGGAAAAUCAUUAAAAAUUGUAAAAAAAUUAUUAUGGAGUGUAGUUUAUAUAUGUGAACUCCUUAAUGAAUCUAGUUUCAAAAUAAAUAAAUAAGAACCUUAUUCGAGUUCUGUACAAUGAGAUAAUUUAGUUUUAGUAGAGAGAGGUCAGAACUGUCAAAUGAAAUAACAGGGGAGUAUUUAACGAAUAAACUGUAUUAAAUGGCUAGACCAAAAAUUCUGGAAAUUUUAUGAUUAGAAGAUAUAUGAGUCUAGUUUUAAUGAAAAUUUACGGAUAUUAAUUUGGAGUUUCGUAGCUCAAGAUAUAAAUAAUUUAGUAACAAUGACUCAAGUAGACAGCUUAAUGGUGAAAUUAUAUAUAUACAUUAAAAAUGGUUAAAUUUGCAUGUUUAGGCUCAUGAAUUAAAUUGAAUCAUGUUGUAUUGAUGAUUAUAAAUUAUUAUUUUCGUAGCCAACAAAGAACCUAAAGCAUCAGCAUCGAAAGGAAAGGAGAAAGUCAUCGAGGAGUAAACUCGAGAAAAUUACGGUUUGUAUUACUAUAAUUCAAGUUAUUUAUUAUUAAAUGCUAAAUUUUAAUUUAUGUGUCUAGUAAAUGAAAUGUGAGGUAAGUAUAAUAUUAGUAUUAAUUUAUUAUUAGUAUUAUUAUUAUUAUGAGUGGGAAUUAAAUUGAAUAGUUUAUAUGAAUUAAUAUUUGAAUUGUUUGUUGAUUGAAAGCGGGAAAUGAAUUUGAAUCGAAUUGUGAAUGGUAUUAAAUUGUAUGGAAAUGUAUUGAGUUGUGAAAAUGUGUGAAUUUGUGAAAUAAUUAUUGAUUGAAGGUGGAAAAAUGAUUGAAUUGAAAGUGUGAGAAAUUGUGAUUGAAUUGAGAAUAUAUGUGAUUUAAAUACCCUAUUAACUAGUCGGGCUGAGUCGGAUAUAGUUGGCAUGCCAUAGGAUUGGAAGAGUUCAGGGAUACUUCGACCUCGAGUCGAUGAGACACUGGGUGUCACUAUAUUUCUUCGGAUAGAUUCGAUGAGGUACUGGGUACCAACUUUCUUCGGCUUUGCCGAUGAGACACUGGGUGUCAACUAUUGCUUCGAACUAUCCGAUGAGGCACUGGGUGCCAUUCUGGUGUGUUUGGUUGGAUCCGUGUAUCCGCCAAAGUCCGAGUUUUGUUAAUAGGGUAAAUGAUGAAAUGAUAAACCGAACGAGUUGGUCAAACGAGCUAUUGAAAUGAUAUGAAAAAGUUGAAUUGUGAAUUGAAAUGUGAAAUGAGAUUGAGAAAUGAACCUAAGGUUCGUGAAUUAUUCAAACUCAAAUUGUGGAUAUACGAUAUUGGUUGAUGAAUUGCUAUUGUUGAAAUAUUUAAUUUAAAUUGUAUAUACGAUUUAUGCUUUACAUGUACAUUAUUGUUAUAAUUUGAAUUAUGGUAAUACCACUGAGUAUGAAUUACUCAGCGUACGGUUGUUUCCGUGCGCAGGUCAAUAGAAGUCAAAGGUCCCGGUUCAACAUCCAGAUUAAUCCCGGCUUCGGCAAAACUUGGUGAUGUAUUUUUCCUUUGGUAAAGGUGGCAUGUACAUAGAUUGUGUAUAAAGGUUAUUAUGUUUUAAUAUAUAAUGGUUAAAAAUGUUAGUAUUAAAAGUUUAUGGAUUUUAAUGAAAGAAGUCUAUCUAUUUUAUCUAAUUAGUACAUUGUUAAAUUUUAAAUUGAUAUUGUGUAGAUUGAGUUUGAUUAGAAGUAUUUAGAAUAGCAAAUGUGAAUGUGAAAUGAAUUGGUUGAAUUGGUGAUAUUUGGGAACUAUAUGGUUUUAAUUUGCAGGGGGUUUUAUGUAAAAAUAAGCAGAAAUGCUGCCGAAAUUUUUAUAAAAAAAAAAUGAAGUCAUUUGGUAAACAAACUAAUAAAUUUUAUGAAUUAUUUUAAUAUAUUGGUUAUUUAUUUAAGAAUUGUUGUAAAUCGUUCGAUACGUCCGGUAAUGCCUCGUAAUUCUGUUCCGGCGACGGUUCGGGGUUAAGGGGUGUUACAAUUGUUGGUAUCGGAGCCAUCAGGUUUAGCCGAUUCUCGGCCUAAAUCGAGCUCGAAAUUGAGUCUAGAUGUACAUGCCACUGUCGAGUUAAACUGAGUCGGGAUUUUUGGAUGCUGACCUAUUUGUUUGUUUUGUUUUAUAGAUUAAAGAUGUCUGAAGAAAGAAUAAAUGAUACUGAUGAAAGAAUGUAUAGUGAAGAUAGACAAUUAGGUGAAACAGAAUCUGUUGCACCGAGUGUGAAUCCGUUAGGCAACCAACCUUCUAAUGUAGAACGAGAAAAUGUCAGAGAUAGAGAUGAAUCCCAAUUACUGAGAAUUAUAGCUGAUGCAUUACAAAGAGUAGUAGGAACUACUCCUGUUACGACUUCAGUACCUACUGUUAGACGGGCUCCGAUAAAGGAACUGAGGAAAUAUGGUGCCACUGAAUUUAUGGGUCUAAAAGGAGUUGAUCCAUCCACAGCUGAAAAUUGGAUGGAGUCGACUAAAAGAAUUUUGCAGCAAUUGGAUUGUACCCCCCGAGAGUGUUUAAUCUGUGCCGUAUCGUUAUUACAAGGGGAGGCUUAUCUAUGGUGGGAAUCAGUGGUUCGACAUUUACCAGAGAGUCAGAUAACGUGGGAUCUAUUUCAGAAGGAGUUUCAAAAGAAAUAUAUCGGAGAGAUGUAUAUUGAAGACAAGAAACAAGAGUUUUUGUUGCUACAACAGGGUGAUAUGUCAGUAAUAGAUUAUGAGAGGGAAUUCUCGAGACUCAGUAGAUAUGCCUCCGAGUUUAUUCCGACAGAAGCCGAUAGUUGUAAAAGAUUUUUACGGGGUUUACGAGACGAGAUCAAAGUGCAGCUAGUAUCUCAUCGGAUCACUGAGUUAGUAGAUUUGAUUGAACGAGCUAAAAUGGUGGAACAAGUUCUGGGCCUCGACAAAAAGACUGAAGUUGUUAGACCAACCGGGAAGCGUACAGGAACUACCAGUUCGAAUCCUCAGCCGAAAAGACCAAAGGAAUUCCAAAGUGGUUGGAGAUCCAGUUUCAGGCCAGACAGAGGUGGUAGAAGUAGGGGAAAACAGACGAUGACAUCUACUGGCAGUGUGAGAGGUCCUUCCCGAGAAAUAGAUAUUCCAGACUGCGAACACUGCGGAAAGAAACACAGAGGGGAAUGUUGGAAAUUAAUUAGAGGCUGUUUUCGAUGUGGUUCUACAGACCAUUUCAUCAGAGACUGUCCGAAAGUUGAUAGUACUGUACCCGUGACAUCACAGAGAUCGGUAUCUACAGCUAGAGGCAGAGGGUUAGGAAGAGGUGGUUCGGUUUCAAGGGGAGGAAGUAUUAGGAGAAGCAAUGAUAUUACUACUCAGCAGUCUGAGGCUAAAGUACCUGCCAGAGCUUAUGUGGUCAGAACACGGGAAGAAGGUGACGCCCACGAUGUAGUAACAGGUAUAUUCUUACUAUAUUCUGAGCCUGUUUAUGCUUUAAUUGAUCCCGGAUCUUCACAUUCUUAUAUAAAUUCAAAAUUAGUUGAAUUGGGAAAAUUUAAUUCUGAAAUAUCUAGAGUGACUGUAGAAGUGUCGAGUCCGUUGGGGCAAACAGUAUUAGUGAAUCAGAUCUGUCCGAGAUGCCCGUUAAUUAUACAAAAUAAAACUUUUCCUAUUGACCUGUUGAUUAUGCCAUUUGGAGAUUUUGAUAUAAUACUGGGGAUGGAUUGGUUGGCUGAGAACGGAGUGGUAUUGGAUUGUUAUAAAAAGAAGUUUAGUAUUCAGACAGAAGACGGGGACAGAAUUGAGGUAAAUGGUAUCCGUACUAAUGGGCCGACACGUAUUAUUUCGGCAAUAAAGGCUAAUAAAUUGCUUCAGCGGGGUUGUACAGCGUAUUUAGCCUAUGUUAUUAAUUCUGAUUUGGUUGGUAGUCAGUGCAGUAAGAUUAGAACCGUAUGUGAGUUUCCAGAUGUAUUUCCUGAAGAGCUACCGGGUUUACCACCUGACAGAGAGGUUGAAUUUGCUAUAGAAGUGUAUCCGGGUACAGCACCAAUCUCUAUACCACCGUAUCGAAUGUCACCCACUGAGUUGAAAGAGUUGAAAGUGCAGUUACAGGACUUGUCAGAUCGUGGAUUUAUUAGACCGAGCAUUUCACCUUGGGGAGCUCCAGUAUUGUUUGUUAAAAAGAAAGAUGGAUCGAUGCGGCUUUGUAUUAAUUACCGGCAGUUAAACAAAGUGACGAUCAAGAACCGGUAUCCGUUACCCCGUAUAGAUGAUUUAUUUGAUCAGCUAAAAGAAGCUUCAGUAUUUUCAAAGAUUGACUUAAGAUCUGGGUAUUAUCAGCUGAAGGUAAAAGAAAGUGAUGUUCCGAAGACUGCAUUUCGUACUCGAUAUGGUCAUUAUGAAUUUUUGGUGAUGCCGUUCGGGUUGACUAAUGCUCCAGCUGCUUUUAUGGAUCUGAUGAAUCGUAUUUUUCAGCCGUAUUUAGAUCAGUUUGUGGUGGUUUUUAUUGAUGACAUCUUGGUUUAUUCGAAGUCAGAGUCAGAGCAUGAUCAGCAUCUCAGAACCGUGCUACAGAUUCUGCGAGAAAAACAGUUGUACGGGAAACUAAGUAAAUGUGAAUUCUGGUUACCAGAGGUAGUAUUCUUGGGACAUGUUGUAUCUGCGGAUGGGAUUAGAGUUGAUCCGAAGAAGAUCGAGGCAAUUGUUCAAUGGAAGGCACCAAAGAAUGUAUCAGAGGUACGCAGUUUUCUUGGUUUGGCUGGGUAUUACAGAAGAUUUGUAAAUGGGUUUUCGAAGAUAGCUUUGCCGAUAACCAAAUUACUACAGAAGAAUGUUCCAUUUAUCUGGGAUGAUCAGUGUCAGAGGAGCUUUGAAACAAUGAAACAAAUGUUGACAGAGGCACCAGUUUUAACUUUACCAGAAUCGGGGAAAGAUUUCAUAGUGUACAGUGAUGCUUCUUUGAAUGGUUUGGGUUGUGUAUUGAUGCAAGAAGGAAAAGUAAUAGCUUAUGCAUCUCGACAGUUGAAGUCACAUGAACGCAACUACCCGACACACGAUUUAGAGUUAGCUGCUGUAAUCUUUGCAUUGAAGAUUUGGAGACAUUACUUGUAUGGUGAGAAAUGUUAUAUUUACACUGAUCAUAAAAGUCUUAAAUAUCUUCUGUCACAAAAGGAGUUGAAUCUGAGACAGAGACGGUGGAUUGAACUUCUGAAAGAUUAUGAUUGUGUUAUAGAUUAUCAUCCAGGGAAGGCAAAUGUGGUAGCAGAUGCAUUGAGUAGAAAAGCAGCGAUUGAAUUACGAGCAAUGUUCGCUCGACUUAGUGUUAAGGAUGAUGGAAGUUUGUUAGCUGAGUUAAGAGUCAAGCCGGUGAUGUUUGAUCAAAUCAGAGCAGCACAGUUAAAAGAUGAAAAGUUGAUGAGGAAAAGAGAAAUGGUACAGUAUGGUGCGGUAGAAAAUUUUAGUAUUGACGAGCAUGAUUGUUUGAGAUUUCGGAAUCGAAUUUGUGUUCCAUCUACUUCUGAGAUUAAAGAAUUGAUUCUCCGAGAAGCACAUGAUAGUAUUUUUGCUUUGCACCCAGGAGGAACGAAGAUGUAUCGUGAUCUACGAGAACUGUAUUGGUGGCCAGGAAUGAAGAAAGAUAUAGUUGAAUAUGUCAGUAAAUGCUUGACUUGUCAGCGGGUAAAAGCAGAACAUCAGGUACCAACAGGCCUGUUACAGCCUAUUACUAUUCCCGAGUGGAAAUGGGAUCGCAUUACCAUGGAUUUUGUUACGGGGUUGCCAUUAUCAGUGAGUAAAAAGAAUGUUAUUUGGGUGAUUGUUGAUCGACUCACAAAAUCAGCUCAUUUUAUAGCAGUUAGAACCGACUGGUCAUUACAGAAGCUUGCCGAGGUUUAUAUUCGAGAAAUUGUUAGAUUACAUGGUAUUCCGGUAUCAAUAAUUUCAGACAGAGAUCCUCGAUUCACUUCGAGAUUUUGGAAGCAGCUGCAUGAAUCAUUGGGUACUCGACUUAGUUUCAGUACAGCUUUUCAUCCUCAAACUGAUGGACAAUCUGAACGAGUAAUUCAGAUAUUAGAAGAUAUGCUUCGAGCUUGUGUCAUUGAUUUUGAAUCAGGUUGGGAACGUUAUUUACCAUUGGCCGAGUUUGUUUAUAAUAAUAGUUUCCAAUCUAGUAUUCAAAUGGCUCCAUAUGAAGCACUUUAUGGUCGAAGGUGUCGAUCACCAAUAUGUUGGACAGAAUUAAGAGAAAGAAAAGUGAUUGGGCCGGAAUUGAUUCAAGAGACAGAAGAAACAGUUAAAAAGAUUAAAGAUAGACUGAAAGCCGCUUUCGACAGACAGAAAUCUUACGCAGACUUGAAACGACGAGACAUUGAAUAUUCCGUUGGUGAUAAGGUAUUCCUCAAAGUAUCGCCGUGGAAGAAAAUUUUGAGAUUUGGUCGGAAGGGAAAAUUAAGUCCGCGCUUUAUUGGGCCGUAUGAGAUAGUGGAAAGAAUUGGGCCUGUUGCUUAUCGAUUAUCCUUACCUCCAGAGUUACAAAAAAUUCAUGAUGUUUUUCAUGUUUCGAUGCUUCGGAGAUAUAGAUCGGAUCCUUCUCAUGUUAUUCCCACUGAAGACAUUGAACUUCGAUCUGAUUUAACUUAUGAAGAAGAACCAGUUCAAAUAUUAGCACGAGAAGUGAAAGAAUUAAGAAAUAAACGGGUUCCUUUAGUAAAAGUUUUAUGGAGAAGCCAUAGUGUGGAAGAAGCAACUUGGGAACCGGAAGAGACAAUGAGAGCACAAUAUCCUCAUCUCUUCUCAGGUAAAUUUCGAGGACGAAAUUUAUUAAGAGGGGGAGAAAUGUAAUGACCCAAAAUUCACGGGCAUCGAAAAAGUAUAAUAUUGGACCUCCGUCUUAGUAAAUUGAGUCCGAAAAUAAUUAUUAGAAAUAUUUACGAGACUAGUUGUGUGUUUAAUUAAGUUUUGGAUAGAUGAAUUUAAUCUAAUUAAGAAUAAUUAGGAAAAAGGAUUAAAUUGAAUAAAGGAAAUAAAGUAAAGUAAGUUAAAAUAAAAGAAUAAAAGAAACAAAAGAAGAAAGAAACAGAAUAGCCAAAGACGAAACAGAGAAGAAACAGGGGAGAAAGAAAGGAAAGAAGAAAGAAAAGGGGAAAUAAGGUUUAUGAAGCUUGGAGUUAAUUGGUAAGCUCAAUCAAGUCCUUUUCUCAUAAUUUUGAUAUUUUAGAAGUCUUAAAACAAGUUUUUGAUGAAAUUAAGUUGUUAGUUUGGAAGUUCUUAGGUUUUUAAACAAAGUUCAUGUUGAAUAAAAUGAUGAAAUAGGGGUUUAAUUGAGUGAAAUUCAAGUUAGAAUAGAUAUAAGGAUUGAAUUGCAAAGUAAGCUAUAAGUUUUUUUUGUUUUAGGGACUAGAUUGAGGAAAAUUCGGAAUUAAGAAAAUAUGUUAAAAAUUUAAUAGUUAAAUUUGAGUUUAAAUGAAAUUUGAAUAGGAAUAAGGUGUGAAUUGGUGUUAUAAAUUUGGUUAUUAACAUUUUUCAUCAAAACAGUUUUGGGAAGUAGCAAUGGUCUGACUUUGAAAAUUCACUAAAAAUUUUAUAAAUUGAACUAGAGGAUGAAAAAAAUAUGGAAUUAAAGCUUAUUGAGUCUAGUUUCUUAUAGUAGAAACAAUGUAAGCAAUUAAUUGAUGAAUCAAGAGAUAUUUGAAAUUUAGUAAUACUGGUUCGGGGUGAUUUCGAGAUGCCCUGUUUUAACUUUGGAAAAUCAUUAAAAAUUGUAAAAAAAUUAUUAUGGAGUGUAGUUUAUAUAUGUGAACUCCUUAAUGAAUCUAGUUUCAAAAUAAAUAAAUAAGAACCUUAUUCGAGUUCUGUACAAUGAGAUAAUUUAGUUUUAGUAGAGAGAGGUCAGAACUGUCAAAUGAAAUAACAGGGGAGUAUUUAACGAAUAAACUGUAUUAAAUGGCUAGACCAAAAAUUCUGGAAAUUUUAUGAUUAGAAGAUAUAUGAGUCUAGUUUUAAUGAAAAUUUACGGAUAUUAAUUUGGAGUUUCGUAGCUCAAGAUAUAAAUAAUUUAGUAACAAUGACUCAAGUAGACAGCUUAAUGGUGAAAUUAUAUAUAUACAUUAAAAAUGGUUAAAUUUGCAUGUUUAGGCUCAUGAAUUAAAUUGAAUCAUGUUGUAUUGAUGAUUAUAAAUUAUUAUUUUCGUAGCCAACAAAGAACCUAAAGCAUCAGCAUCGAAAGGAAAGGAGAAAGUCAUCGAGGAGUAAACUCGAGAAAAUUACGGUUUGUAUUACUAUAAUUCAAGUUAUUUAUUAUUAAAUGCUAAAUUUUAAUUUAUGUGUCUAGUAAAUGAAAUGUGAGGUAAGUAUAAUAUUAGUAUUAAUUUAUUAUUAGUAUUAUUAUUAUUAUGAGUGGGAAUUAAAUUGAAUAGUUUAUAUGAAUUAAUAUUUGAAUUGUUUGUUGAUUGAAAGCGGGAAAUGAAUUUGAAUCGAAUUGUGAAUGGUAUUAAAUUGUAUGGAAAUGUAUUGAGUUGUGAAAAUGUGUGAAUUUGUGAAAUAAUUAUUGAUUGAAGGUGGAAAAAUGAUUGAAUUGAAAGUGUGAGAAAUUGUGAUUGAAUUGAGAAUAUAUGUGAUUUAAAUACCCUAUUAACUAGUCGGGCUGAGUCGGAUAUAGUUGGCAUGCCAUAGGAUUGGAAGAGUUCAGGGAUACUUCGACCUCGAGUCGAUGAGACACUGGGUGUCACUAUAUUUCUUCGGAUAGAUUCGAUGAGGUACUGGGUACCAACUUUCUUCGGCUUUGCCGAUGAGACACUGGGUGUCAACUAUUGCUUCGAACUAUCCGAUGAGGCACUGGGUGCCAUUCUGGUGUGUUUGGUUGGAUCCGUGUAUCCGCCAAAGUCCGAGUUUUGUUAAUAGGGUAAAUGAUGAAAUGAUAAACCGAACGAGUUGGUCAAACGAGCUAUUGAAAUGAUAUGAAAAAGUUGAAUUGUGAAUUGAAAUGUGAAAUGAGAUUGAGAAAUGAACCUAAGGUUCGUGAAUUAUUCAAACUCAAAUUGUGGAUAUACGAUAUUGGUUGAUGAAUUGCUAUUGUUGAAAUAUUUAAUUUAAAUUGUAUAUACGAUUUAUGCUUUACAUGUACAUUAUUGUUAUAAUUUGAAUUAUGGUAAUACCACUGAGUAUGAAUUACUCAGCGUACGGUUGUUUCCGUGCGCAGGUCAAUAGAAGUCAAAGGUCCCGGUUCAACAUCCAGAUUAAUCCCGGCUUCGGCAAAACUUGGUGAUGUAUUUUUCCUUUGGUAAAGGUGGCAUGUACAUAGAUUGUGUAUAAAGGUUAUUAUGUUUUAAUAUAUAAUGGUUAAAAAUGUUAGUAUUAAAAGUUUAUGGAUUUUAAUGAAAGAAGUCUAUCUAUUUUAUCUAAUUAGUACAUUGUUAAAUUUUAAAUUGAUAUUGUGUAGAUUGAGUUUGAUUAGAAGUAUUUAGAAUAGCAAAUGUGAAUGUGAAAUGAAUUGGUUGAAUUGGUGAUAUUUGGGAACUAUAUGGUUUUAAUUUGCAGGGGGUUUUAUGUAAAAAUAAGCAGAAAUGCUGCCGAAAUUUUUAUAAAAAAAAAUGAAGUCAUUUGGUAAACAAACUAAUAAAUUUUAUGAAUUAUUUUAAUAUAUUGGUUAUUUAUUUAAGAAUUGUUGUAAAUCGUUCGAUACGUCCGGUAAUGCCUCGUAAUUCUGUUCCGGCGACGGUUCGGGGUUAAGGGGUGUUACAAAAUUUUUACGAAAAUUUUCCGUGAAAUUGUAGAUCAUAAAAAUAUAAUAAUAACCAUAUUUUCCCUCGUCGGAUUUGUGGUCCCGAAACCACUAUUCCGACUAGGCCCAGAAUCGGGCUGUUACAACUCUCCCCCCCUUAGGGAUUUUCGUCCCCGAAAAUCUUACCGGAAAAGAGGUUUGGGUACUGUUUCCUCAUAAUUUCCUCCGGUUCCCACGUAGCCUCUUCCAUUCCAUGUUUUUGCCACAACACUUUCACUAAGGCUACACUUUUAUUUCUUAACUGUUUGACCUCCCGAGCCAAAAUCUUUAUGGGUUCUUCUUCAUAAGUCAUAUCUGGUCGAACCUCAAUCUCUGUAGGAGAAACUAUAUGUGAAGGAUCCGAACGAUAACGUCGCAACAUCGACACAUGAAAUACAUUAUGUAUCUUUUCCAACUCUGGCGGUAAAGCUAACCGAUAUGCUACAGGGCCAACUCUCUCGGUAACUUCAUAUGGUCCAAUAAAACGUGGACUUAGUUUGCCUUUACGACCAAAUCUCAGAAUCUUCUUCCAUGGGGAUACUUUCAAGAACACUUUAUCACCCACUUGAAACUCAAUUUCUUUUCUCUUUAAAUCCGCAUACGACUUUUGCCGAUCUGAGGCAGCUUUUAGGCAAUCACGGAUUAUUUUCACCUUUUCUUCAGUUUCUUUCACCGUCGACUCCAUGAAUCCGAUUCUCACCGAGUUCAGUCCAAUAUAAAGGGGUUCUACAUUUACGCCCAUAUAAUGCUUCAUACGGUGCCAUUUGUAUACUUGACUGAUAACUAUUAUUAUAAGCAAAUUCAACCAGUGGUAGAUAUUUCUCCCAACUGUCCUUCAUUUCUAAAAUACAACACCGGAGCAUGUCUUCAAGAACUUGAAUCACCCUUUCUGAUUGUCCGUUAGUUUGCGGAUGAAAUGCAGUACUGAAAUUCAAUUUCGUACCCAAAGCUUCCUGUAACUUUAUCCAAAACCUCGAAGUAAAUCUCGGAUCUCUAUCCGAUAUAAUAGAUUUAGGCACCCCAUGUAGUCUCACUAUUUCAGCAACAUAUAAUUCAGCCAACCUGUCAAGUGAAUAAUCAAUGCGUAUCGGAAUAAAAUGGGCUGACUUUGUCAAUCUAUCCACAAUUACCCAAAUAGCAUCUUUCUUCUUUGGAGUUAAAGGCAAUCCUGUCACGAAAUCCAUCGUGAUACUGUCCCACUUCCAUUCUUGAAUCGUUAUCGGUUGAAGUAAACCCGAUGGCACUUGAUGCUCAGCCUUCACUUGUUGACAGAUUAAACAUUUUGUUACAAAUUCCGAGAUAUCCUUUUUCAUGCCCGGCCACCAAUACAACUUCCUCAAAUCAUUGUACAUUUUCACACUACCCGGAUGGACUGAUAAAUCACCACUGUGUGCCUCACCUAAAAUAGUCUGAAUUAGCUCAUCAUUUCUCGGUACACAUAUUCUGUCCCUGAACAUCAGGCAAUCAUCUGAACCAAUUUGAAAAUCUGAGUCAACACCUGCUUCACACUGAGCUCUCUUGGCUUGCAAUUUACUGUCAUUCUUUUGAGAUUCCCGAAUUUGCUGAAGAAAUAACGGUCUAGCUCUCAAUUCAACCAACAUUGAGCCAUCAUCAGAUAAAGUUAACAUCGUACCCAUAGCUCUCAAAGCAAAUAAAGAUUUUCUGCUCAAGGCAUCAGCAACCACAUUAGCUUUCCCGGGGUGAUAAUCAAUCACUAGCUCAUAGUCUUUGAUUAGCUCGAGCCAUCUUCGUUGCCGCAAAUUCAAGUCUUUUUGACUCAUCAAAUAUUUCAAACUCUUAUGAUCAGUGAAGAUUCGGCACUUUUCACCAUACAAAUAAUGACGCCAAAUUUUUAAAGCAAAAACAAUGGCAGCCAAUUCUAAAUCAUGCGUCAGAUAAUUCUUCUCAUGCGGUUUCAACUGUCUCGAAGCAUAAGCUAUUACUUUGCCUUCUUGCAUUAACACACACCCAAGGCCAUUCAACGAUGCAUCACUGUAAAUUACAAACUCCUUCCCGGACUCAGGUUGCACCAACACUGGCGCCUCAGUCAAUAAUGCCUUCAACUUUUCAAAACUCUGUUGACAUUUAUCGGUCCAUUCAAACUUGACAUUCUUCUGCAGUAACUUAGUCAUAGGAGAAGCAAUCAUCGAGAAUCCCUUGACAAACCGUCUGUAAUACCCAGCUAAGCCCAGGAAGCUUCUAACUUCAGUCACAUUCUUUGGUGGCUCCCAAUCAACAAUUGCUGAAAUUUUGCUUGGAUCAACCCGAAUACCUUCACUUGAAACUAUAUGUCCCAAGAAUCCAACCUCACGAAGCCAAAACUCACUUUUGCUGAAUUUAGCAUACAAUUUCUUUUCUCUCAGAAUCUGCAACACAGUUCUCAAAUGUUCUGCAUGUUCCGAUUCAUCCCGAGAAUAGAUUAAAAUAUCAUCUAUGAACACCACCACGAACUUGUCUAAGUACAGCCGAAAAAUUCGGUUCAUCAAGUCCAUAAAAAUAGCUAGAGCAUUAGUCAACCCAAAAGGCAUUACCAGAAAUUCAUAGUGUCCAUACCUCGUUCUGAAGGCAGUUUUCGGCACAUCAGACUCUUUAACUCUCAACUGAUAGUAACCAGACCUCAGAUCGAUCUUGGAGAACACUGUUGCCCCUUUUAAUUGAUCAAACAAAUCAUCAAUUCUCGGCAAAGGAUACUUGUUCUUUAUGGUCACCUUAUUGAGCUGACGAUAGUCAAUACAAAGUCUCAUAGAGCCGUCCUUCUUUUUCACAAAUAACACAGGAGCACCCCAAGGAGAAAAACUCGGUCUCACAAAUCCUUUAUCUGUCAACUCUUGUAACUGAGCUUUUAAUUCCUUCAACUCAGUCGGAGCCAUUCGAUACGGUGCAAUAGAAAUCGGUGCAGUACCAGGUAACAGAUCAAUAGAAAACUCAACUUCUCUAAUCGGAGGUAACCCAGGCAAUUCCUCUGGAAAUACAUCUGGAAAUUCACAGACUACCGGCACUGAUUCAAGCUUCGACCCAGUUAUAUCAGUAUUCAACACAUAAGCAAGAUAAACUUCACAUCCCUUUCUCAAGUAUUUCUGAGCAGACAUGUGCGAAAUCACCAUAGGCAACUUAUUCGGCUCCUCUGUUUCAAUCCGGAGAAUUUCACCAUUUUCACACUUUAAUUCAAGAAUUUUCUGUCUACAAUUCACCUUGGCAUCAUGCAAUAUCAACCAAUCCAUCCCCAAAAUAACAUCGAACUCAUCAAAUGGUAACAACAUCAAAUUAGCCAGGAAACAGUGACCUUGAAUCAUCAGGGGGCAAUUCUUGCAAAUCUUAUCAACUAAGACAUACUUGCCUAAUGGAUUUGAUACUUUAACUACAUAUUCAGUGUUUUCAACAGGCAAUUUCUUACUAGAUACCAAUUUCAUGCAUACAUAUGAAUGAGUAGAGCCGGGAUCAAUCAAAGCAAUAACAUCUAUAUCAUGGAGAGAAAAUGUACCAGUAAUCACAUCGGGAGAUGAGGCAUCCUCUCGAGCACGUAUGGCAUAAGUCCUGGCAGGCGCUCUAAUUUCUGAUCCUCCAGCUGCAUCUUUCAUCACACUUUUACCACUGACUUUGCUUCCCACAUUUCUCGGCGGUCUCCCUCUACUAACAAUAUCACCCGAUCCAGCUCUUGGCAAAUUUUCUUCCUCUCUUCUCUCAGGGCAAUCUCUUACAUAAUGCUCUUGGGAACCACACCUGAAACAAGCUCGUUUAAAUCCCCAACACUCACCAAUAUGUCGCCUGCCACACUGUUGACAUUCAGGCCGGGUGUUUCCUACAUUGCCCACACUUGCUACAGAGGUAGCUCGAGUUGUAGCUCCAGAAUACGACCUCCCUCGGUCUCUGCGUGAAUACCCAACUGAACCAGUUGGUCGUGGAUCCAUCCCUUUAAACUUCUUCGAAUGAGAUUGAAAUGUUCUGCCCAUUGUCCUCUUCCUUACAUCUCGAGAUUCCAUCUCUGCCCUUCUCUUUUCUCUACUCAGUUCUUCAGCUUUACAGGCCCGAUCAACUAACACCACAAAUUCUUUUAACUCUAAAAUCCCAACAUGCAAUCUGAUGUCUUCAUUUAGCCCCUCUUCAAAUCUUUUACACAUAAUAGCCUCCGUAGGCACACAUUCCUGGGCAUAUUUACUAAGCCGAACAAACUCCCGUUCAUAUUCUGCUACGGACAUUCGGCCCUGUUUCAACCCGAGAAACUCUUUGCGUUUUUGAUCAAUAAAUCGUUGGCUUACAUAUUUCUUUCUAAAUUCUUCCUGAAAGAAGUCCCAAGUAACUCUUUCUUUUGGAACCACCGAUAUCAAUGUUUUCCACCAACGAUAUGCCGAAUCCUUCAAUAAAGACACAGCACAUUUCAAACAUUCUUCAGGGGUGCAAGAUAAUUCAUCAAAUACCCGAAUAGUAUUUUCAAGCCAAAACUCGGCUUUUUCCGGAUCAUCAUCAACAUUGGCCCUAAAAUCUUCAGCCCCAUGCUUUCAAAUUCUAUCAACAGGUGGCUUACUUGAUCUCACCAAUUCGGCACUCCGUGGAGCUACGGGGACCGGUUGAGGAAUAGGAAGGGGUGGAGGAGGAGGAACAUUCGGAUUUACACGGACAUAUUUUAUAUACCAAUCACUCAUCAUUCGGAGGAAGGCUUCCCGAGCCUCAUCCUGUCCAUGUGUCUCAUGCUACUCUCUUCCUGUGCGGUCCCUUGCGCGAGAGCCGGCGCGUUACUUUCAACAUCAUCUGCCACACUUCGAUCAGGAUCCAUUUACUAUAUAAAACAAAAUUUUAAAUUGUCAGAAAUCAUCACACUAUCACAAUAAUUUUAUGGCAUGUAUAGACUGACUUCCACACGUAUUUUAUUGGUCCGAGAACCGACUAAACCGUAGCUCUGAUACCACUAAAAUGUAACACCCCUUACCCGUAUUCCUUACCGGAACAGAGUAUGAGGUAUUACUAAAUUUUUAAAAAUUUUCGACAGCAUUCCUACUUAUUUUUGCUUAAACCUCCUGCAAAUUUAGAACACAUUCCAAUAUACCAACCAAUUUCAUUUGUAUAAACACACAUAUAGUUUAACUAUUAAUAAACACUACAUUUAAAAGGGAACCAUAACAUAUAUUUACAUGAUGAUCCCACAUUACAUAAAGUGUCUAUACAUGCCUUAAAAUUUCGGAACACUAGUAGUAAAAUACCCCAAAUGUGAAGGAUAGUGUAGAUGAUUGUCUGACUUCGUUCCAAUUUCCGAGUUGUUGGAAGUCACUAUAACCAAGAGAAAAAUAAAAUCGAGUAAGCAUAUAGCUUAGUAAGUAAACACAUGAUAAAUAAGUAAUUACUCCCAUAACUACACCAAAAUAUAAACUUAUUCAUGAAUAACUUUAUUGUUUAGGCAAUUUCCAGCAAGCUGUUUUUCUGCGUCAUAGUCGCUAAUUUAUUUUUAUCUGGAGCUACAGGGCUCCAAAUUGAGUUACAUAAAUUUUCCCUGAAACUAGACUCAUAUACCAUUUCACCAUAAAAAUUUCAGAAUUUUUAACCCAGCCAAUUAGUACAGUUUAUUCAUUAAACCUUCCCCUGUUUCACUGCCCAACGGUUCUGACCCUUCCUCACUAAAAUUUACUUAACUCUCUGUAAAAAAUUUUAAAAAUGGGUUUUCUUGUUUCUAAUAAAAAUAGACUCAAUAAGGAUUCCAGGGAUAUAAAUUUCAUGCCAUAAUUAUUUUUUUACAAUUUUUGGUAAUUUUACAAAGUUAGAACAGGGGAUCUCGAAAUCAAUCCAGCCCUGUUUUAGUAAAAUUCAGAUAUCUCCAAAAAUACAACUAUUUUGCUUAUUCUAUUUCUUUUAUAUGAAAAAAGACACAUCCAGCUUCAAUUUCAUAUAUUAUUCAGCUUCCCAUUCAUUUUCCACCAUUUAUGGUGAUUUUUCAAAGUUACCCAACUACUGUUGUUCAACACAGUUUAUAAUUAAAUCGUUCCUUUUUCGUUUUUGAUAUUUUCUCCCAUCUCAUACAUGGAUCGAUUUAGUGUCCAACUCAAUAUUUACCCCAUAAAAUUUUCCACCAUAUGGCAAUAUUCACCUUCCACACUUUUUCGUUGAACACUCGGAAUGUUAACCGUUAUUGGUGGAUCUCGCACUUAGCACCACCACUGAAUCGGGGAAUCAUCACUUAGCAACCCCUCGGGGGAAUCAGCACAUAGCAACCCCCUUUUCAUUUCAAAUAUACAAUGGAUAUCGCACUUAGCAACCCCUCGGGGGAAUCAGCACAUAGCAACCCCCUUUCACAUUUCAAAGAUAUGGUGGAUAUCGCACUUAGCACCACCAAUGAACCGGGGAAUCAGCACUUAGCAACCCCUCGGGGGAAUCAGCACAUAGCAACCCCCUUUCACAUUUCAAAGAUAUGGUGGAUCACGCACAUAGCACCACCCAUAAAUCGGGGAAUCAGCACACAGCAACCCCUUUUAUAUACAACAUACUACGGCUUAUUCCGAGUGUUCAACCCAUAACCCAUAUAUUGCAACCCUUUAUCACCUUUCCCGAUUUAACAACAUUUUUAGGAUAUUGCCAAACAUCUAUUUUAAUUCCAAAUAAAUCUCAACAUAUAUCAAAUAAUAUCAAAAUAAUACAUUAAGUCACGUGUUUACUUACCUCGGUGCAAAAUAUCGUAAUUUUGCACUUUACUCCACUAUCUUUUCUUUUCCUCGUUUGAUAUACUCUUCACGUCUUUCUUGAUCUAUAAUAGCAAAUUUAACUCGUUUAAAGUCCACAUUUAUUAAAAUAAUCCACCACCCAACUUUUUGAAAAUUACAAUUUUGCCCCCAAACUUUUGCAUAAUUACACUUUUGUCCCUAAGCUCGGAAAUUAAACUUCAUCACUUAUUCUUAAGUUUUAUAACAUGCUGAACAUUUUUCCCUUCUAUGGAAACAUCAAAUUCCCACUCCAACACAUACUUUUGAAUAUUAAUUAUUUUUACCGAUUAUGUCUAUUUACCCGUUUUCGCUUAAAAUUGCUUAGCAAAAGUUGUUUAACAUAAUCUCUAGCUUCAUAUUCCACCAUAAAACAGCAAAAUAAACACAUUUCACCUAUGGAUAUUUUUCCAAAUAUGAACCCUAACAUGAAUUAAUGGUAGAAUAAGCUAAACCAAGUUACCGGGACUCCAAAAAUACGAAGAACAUUAAAAACGGGGCUUAGAAUCACUUACUAUGGAGCUUGAAAGCUUAAAAACCCUAAAUAUGGCUUCCCCCUUGCUGAUUUCGUUC